RNAcentral lists this ribosomal RNA (154 nucleotides) under uncultured eukaryote. RNAcentral describes it as "partial small subunit ribosomal RNA". It matches the Rfam family "Eukaryotic small subunit ribosomal RNA", at positions 1651 to 1801 of the family's 1831-position model. The record is from RNAcentral.
CCCUGCCAUUUGUACACACCGCCCGUCGCUACUACCGAUUGAAUGGCUUAGUGAGCCCCAGGGAUUGUUGCUCUUUGUUGGGUUUCCUUCAUUGAGCAUCCGAGAACUGGGUCAAACUUGAUCAUUUAGAGGAAGUAAAAGUCGUAACAAGGUU